ACGCUCGACACCUACGGGAGGCAGCAGUUGGGAAUAUUGGACAAUGGAGGAAACUCUGAUCCAGUGACGCCGCGUGAAGGAAGAAGGUCUUCGGAUUGUAAACUUAUUUUGUCAGGGAAGAAAAAAUGACUGUACCUGAAGAAAAAGCACCGGCUAACUACCGUGCCAGGAGCCGCGGUAAUCUGAGCGGCUGGCAAGGC
Molecule: ribosomal RNA, 200 nt
Filed under: uncultured bacterium
Lineage: Bacteria
Description: partial 16S ribosomal RNA
Rfam family: Bacterial small subunit ribosomal RNA
Source: RNAcentral